Molecule: ribosomal RNA, 504 nt
Filed under: Claviceps paspali (paspalum staggers ergot)
Lineage: Eukaryota; Fungi; Ascomycota; Sordariomycetes; Hypocreales; Clavicipitaceae
Description: partial large subunit ribosomal RNA
Rfam family: Eukaryotic large subunit ribosomal RNA
Source: RNAcentral
ACGGCGAGUGAAGCGGCAACAGCUUCAAUUUGAAAUCUGGCCCCCGGGCCCGAGUUGUAAUUUGCAGAGGAUGCUUUUGGCGAGGCGCCUUCCGAGUUCCCUGGAACGGGACGCCAUAGAGGGUGAGAGCCCCGUCUGGUUGGAUGCCGAGCCUCUGUAAAGCUCCUUCGACGAGUCGAGUAGUUUGGGAAUGCUGCUCUAAAUGGGAGGUAUAUGUCUUCUAAAGCUAAAUAUUGGCCAGAGACCGAUAGCGCACAAGUAGAGUGAUCGAAAGAUGAAAAGCACUUUGAAAAGAGGGUUAAACAGUACGUGAAAUUGUUGAAAGGGAAGCGCUUGUGACCAGACUUGGGCCCGGCGGAUCACCCAGCGUUCUCGCUGGUGCACUCCGGCGGGCCCAGGCCAGCAUCAGCUCGUCCCGGGGGACAAAGGCUCUGGGAAUGUGGCUCCUCCGGGAGUGUUAUAGCCCUCUGCGCAAUGCCCUGGGGCGGGCUGAGGACCGCGCAU